GGGGAUGCAAUUGCAUCGACAAGAUUUGCUCUUUAAAAACUGCAAGCCGGCGAGACUCACAGCCGUUAAACUAGGUCAAAAUAUAAAUGCUGGAAGAAAUUCCCGCGUUCAAGCUAAUUGGGCAUUUGCUUAAUUAAAUUGAACUGUUCAUAACGUCUUUUCUCAAUGGGACUUUUUGAGCAUAAAUACAGUUGAGAAAUUAAUAAGGAAAGCGAUUAAGUCCUUAUCAAAUUUAUAAUCUUGGUUUUAUUUAUUCCUUUCUAUCGGAAAAGAAUAAAACGACUUUUAAAGAUAGGAUAAGCUUGUAGAAGUUUUUAAAAUGUUUUCUUGGACUCGAGUUCAAUACUCGACAUCUCCACAU
This 361-nucleotide transfer-messenger RNA is filed under the name Patescibacteria group. Its description in RNAcentral is "JACQHJ01 sp016199085 X2 Standard tmRNA". It matches the Rfam family "transfer-messenger RNA". From Rfam's summary of the family: Bacterial tmRNA, also known as 10Sa RNA or SsrA, is named for its dual tRNA and mRNA-like properties. RNAcentral also lists the same sequence under 1 other name. The record is from RNAcentral.